RNAcentral lists this ribosomal RNA (326 nucleotides) under uncultured prokaryote. RNAcentral describes it as "bacterial SSU rRNA". It matches the Rfam family "Bacterial small subunit ribosomal RNA", at positions 26 to 352 of the family's 1533-position model. The record is from RNAcentral.
AGGACGAACGCUGGCGGCGUGCUUAAGACAUGCAAGUCGAACGGAUCUGGUCCUUCGGGACCAGGUUAGUGGCGGACGGGUGAGUAACACGUGACCAACCAACCCCGAACGUUGGGAAUAGCUCUGCGAAAGUAGAGGUAAUACCGAAUGUGGUCCAGGGCGGACAUCCGCUCUGGUCUAAAGAUUUAUCGCUUCGGGACGGGGUCGCGGCCUAUUAGCUUGUUGGUGGGGUAACGGCCUACCAAGGCGAUGAUGGGUAGCUGGUCUGAGAGGAUGAUCAGCCACACUGGGACUGAGACACGGCCCAGACUCCUACGGGAGGCAGC